Molecule: long non-coding RNA, 1856 nt
Organism: Equus caballus (horse)
Lineage: Eukaryota; Metazoa; Chordata; Mammalia; Perissodactyla; Equidae
Source: Ensembl
GGGGGAGUGUCCACGUAGGGAAGGAGGCUGGAGAUGGAGGGGGCAGCCAGGCGACAUCACAAUAGGAACCAAUUCUAUCCAGGCAGGCCUGGGAGCAGGAUGGGAGCCCUGUAACAGAUAGGUGUCAGUGCCUGUGGGACCUGAGCAUCCGAAGGUUCAAGAGAAAGAAGAGGUUAGCUUUGAAACACUGCCUGGAAAUGACAGCACCACUCGUUCCCCAGCUGCCAGAGAGAGGAUCCCCAUUGUGACCUGAGCAUCAUGGCGGAGUGAGGGGUUCCUUUGUCUCUCUCCAAUAAGUUACAGCCAAAGCACACCAUUAACCAACAGAAGAUUCCCUACACAGCACAACAGGAUACCUGAGAGGUCCAGGCAGCUGCACAUCUGAAGAGUGACUGUAGCUGGAAAGGAAAUUUGCGAGUGAAGAUAUGAACCUCGGAAUGAAUCCCAAGCUUGAGAAGAGAGAAUACGCCUGUUCCUCACACUGGCAUCAGACGCAGGUCAAAAAUGAGCCUGAGUAGCUCCUGUUUGGUGAGAUAAAAUCCUGUCUUGGAAGGCAGGGAGAAGGGGACAAGCAGACCAUGGUGACAACAGGAACAGGCGCUGGCAGCUUCGGCCACUGCAGCCAGACACCCGUUUUCACCCCCGGGUCUCCUCCAGCAGUUGUCUCCUCAGUGCCUGUCCUCUGCGCGUAUUUCAGGCAGCAAAGAUGUUGCCCAGUUCGUCUUGGCAGCAGCGCUACAAGUUUGUCAGUCCAGCACCAUGAUCCUGUUUCACAAAUGGAGAAACUGAGAGUCAAUGCAAUUACAGGUUUCCCCCGUUACCUGAAAGUUUGCUUUACACUGCUUUGUUUUACGAAAAACCCACGUUGGUAUCUGCUUUCACAAAGAAAUUGAAGAGGGGUUUUGCUUUUACAAAAAAAGGUGAAAAGUGGAAACAGCCUUCAGCCUUUGUUUUGCAGCGAGUUGCUAUAGAGGCUAAGCAGUCAAGCGUGCUGUCAUAUUUCAAGCACGUCAGCCACUUCAGCCACAGCGCACGAUGAACCUCGACCUUUGACAUCCAGGCAGAUGCAACAAAAGGUGUAGACGUCAGUGACCUGCCUGCCCGAUGGAUUCAGAUGACGAUGAGACGUUAACAGAGGAUCCUAGUCCUCUCUCUCCUACAACCCCGUCUCCCGGUGCCUCCCACCCCCCAACCUCUGAUGACUCAGCCUAACCCACUGUCAUCACCGCCACCACCGUCCCGUGAGCUCUGCCUCCACGAUUCUGGUCUCCUGGGGAUGCUCUGGUCUCGGACAGCAGGGGAAGCCUGUAGGCGGCUUGGCUGCAGUCAUGCGGUGAGUUAUUGGAAGAGGCACAUCUGACCCAAGGCUCAGUUCAACCCACUGCACUCUCCACUCAGGCUCUGACUGCUCAAGCUCUGUCUACACAGUCGCAGGACACUAGUCACACAGUGAAUAACCCCAUCACCUCAGCACUUAUACCACCCGUGUCCAGCACUGUCACCCUCCGAACUCCCAUUUGGUCCCCUCCGUAAAAUGAUCUGUUCGCUGCUGAACUCCGACGGCAGAAUUUAACACCCCUUAGUCCACCAUGCGCCGGAUCCCGAGCAGACGCCACCCUGCUUCCAGCCCAGGUCCCAGUUCCGCGGCCACUCACUGCCGCUGGCGCUUCCUACCUCCCGCUUUCCUACAGAAUAAAUGCUUCUCUAAAGGCAGCAAUUCACCCCAUUUCUCAAACUUUCAAAUCAGCUGGAAGGGACCUCAGUGAGGAUCUAGGCCAGAGGUCACAAACAGGCAACAGUGCAGCAAAUCAGACUCACUGGCUGUUCUGUGUGGCCUGCGGAGUGUUUCACAGAAA